UGUGUUCGGGAACAUAAUGGUUUUUUUUACUAGGACAUAAGAAUAAGUAGAUAUACGGUGCAUCCCAGGCCUUACUUGUGUGACUUCUCAGUCUGAACUACCCUUCUCUCUUUCCUUCCUACUGGCCAACAAAUCUGGUUUGUUAGUGAAAGUCUGCCACUACGCUAACUAGCCUCAUCACUCUGGUCUUUACUGUAUCUCAGCAUGUUCCUACUGCCUGCCAUUCUGUAUCGAGCCCUAGAUUCUUAUUAUGUUGAUUUGUAUUCAUGAUAAUGAUUAUGUUUACUUAUAUUUAUAUGCAUUGAUUUAUAUGUGUGUUAAUAUAUAGUAAUUGAUUCUAGUGUAUCCUACGACGCUAGGACAGAAUUGAACAAAUAAGUAGAAGAGGCAAGCAACGUACAUUAUCACAGAACUCAACCCGUAGCCGAGCCUUAUUAUUGAGCAUCGAUCCAACAAACCUCAAUCGUUAGUUAAUUGAACUCCGCUGUCCAAGUCAUAAAGCUACUACUAGCUCUUAGCCCGAUCUUCCCAGCUUUGAUUCUUGCUUCGCAGUUCGGGCCUGUCUCUCUGGAUUUGGAUUCUACCAUUCCCGGACCUACGUCUUGCUUUGUUAGCUUCCCUUACUUGCUUUUAGUCUAUCUUUUCUCGAACCAGAUUGACUUUCGCCAAUACCAAUAUGAAAGAGGCAAUUAAGAGACUAGUUUGUUAGCGUACGAGACCGGACAAGUAACUAAAGACAUAAUUCCACUCAAAAGAUAUAAUGGAACUGGGCCCAGCCCCUUACUAUUGAUAUACUAAUCCAAAAUCUGGCUUUACCGUCUCUAGGCUUACUGCCCGGAUCUAACAUAUGGAUUUGGUAUCGGCGGUUCCAUUCUACCUAGUUAUAGUGAAAUUCUUUGCAUCAUCUUUUCUUAUUAUAUUAUCAGUAGCUCAGCUCUUUUCUAAUAAGUACUUUUAGAUUCUUCCAGGUAUUAGUAAGCUUGUUUGCUUCUCAAGGUUAUAGGCAGGAAAGUCAUACUCUAGCUCGUUAAGGGGCAGCCGCUACACUAGUUCUCUUUCUCACUUAACACAGGUCAAAAAAGCAGAAAGAAAACACUCUUUUGGGUCUCUUCCCGUAUGCACUGGAUCAUAUCUCACUUCUUUAUUUCACUAGUGUUGAGAACGCUUGACUGUGUACUAUGCCCUUAUUCUUAUACUAUGGAGCUUAUACUAUGGAGCUUCCGCUAUGGAGUUUGGUUCUAUGUUCUACUAACCAUGUCCUGUAUUCACGAUAUACGUCUGAUACGGCGCCUAGAGAUAUAACUUCUAUUAAUAUAUGGCUGUUACUUAUGUGUUUCGUUCCUGUUCGACUUGUCCCUACUACUAAUAAGUUUCAUCCUGAUGCUUACUCCUAUUAGUCUACUACUGGUGCUUACUCCUAUUAUACGAUGUGCUAUGUCAUACACAUAUUCUUAUUCCCUUUUGAGUAUAGAUGCACUGGCAAUUAUGUAUUAGGGCCCCUAUGAAUCACAUUCCUUUUUCUAAGGAACAGUAUUGGUAGCACUAGUUGUAGCAUCAAAGCAAGUAAAGCCGGGGAAUGUAAGCAAGGAUAUUAGGACUCAUUUUCUAUAUUGAUUCUUUUACCCAUAUUGAUUGAGUUGCUAGUUAAAGGAAGAGGCGGACUAGCAAGGAGUAGCAGGGCGAUGAGUUCUAGUUUGGAGUCCUUUUUUGAAUGGAACUCAUUGGCAUAGGAAUGACCAUGGAAAGUUUGAAUUAAAGGACCGAGUCACAGAAUUGACACUAUUUCUUCUAAUAAUGGAGUGGGCAGGUGCGUAGAUCAAUAAGGUCAGGGUACCUGGCUAAGUUAUCCAAUUCUCAAGUCAGGAUACCUGGGCUACUAUGGGCUAAGAAAUGAACUAAUUAGUCAAAGAAUGCUUGUAGUGUUGUGCGUGUGAACAGAUGUAGCCAAGUAAAUAAAAGAAUGGAAAUAGAAUCUAGGGCAAAUGCCCCGCAAGGUAGGAAGCCGGAAUUGCACUCAGUAGUAACGGAAUCAAAGCUGUUGACUUAACCACAUAAGCUAGCCUCGUACCACUAGCUACUACCGAUAAGACUGAUGAAACACCCCAGUGGAUUGAACUGCCAUUCCUUUCUUUUGGCCCGAGACAUCCUAAACCGAAACAACUGAUUCAGAUACUUUAGCCGCGGAUAUAGAACCUCCUCCACAGCUCAAGGCUUGCUCCACUGGCUUCAAUACCUUAUCUUCCCAUAAUGAAUUCCACUAAUGCCUUAAGGGCUACCGCACCUACCGUAUAUGUCAAGUAUGGCUUUCCUGCCUUUAGGUCUCCUAUUGCUCUAUCCUAUUCUCCAAUUACUGCCCUAGAACCUUGCCUUACAUACUACAAGCUUUAUUCCCUCUUCCACGCCUCUACUCCUUAGUUGCACAUCUUAUCCUAUCUAUCCCAUCUAUAAGUCGUACUAUAUCCUCUCUAGGCCUGGCACUGCUAUAUCAAGGGAUCCGACAUACCAUCCCAGUCUAAUACCUCCUCUUGGAAUAAUGAAUUACUAAAACUAGAAACAAGACCGGUGCCACUAAUAUGAAAAGGGUAGCACCUACCCCCACACGAGAAUCACUUUUAUGCUAAGAAAGAAUUAAGCUACGACUAUUAGAUUGAAACACUACCUUGUCAGAGUAGAGGUCCUAUACUGGCAGUAAUGAACCAAAGAACAAUAACUUUACAUACAUAAUGGGAACAACGAUAGGAGAUCAGAAUACAAAUCAAACUAACAACACUGACUCCGCUAACUUGGAAUUCCGAUGGUGCCUAUAAGAUUGACACCGGGCUACUAACUAUAGAAAUGGGUCUACUACUUAAGUGAAGAGAAAACAAAACCUAUUGCUUCUGGAGCCAACUAGGAAUUACGCUCAUUGAUAUCAGAACCAAACCCAUCAAUCAGCAUAUGGAACGAAGCUACCCCACAGUAUUGCUUGUAUCGGUAGCACAUGGGUAGCAACGAACGUAUCAAUAGCAUAGGUAGCAAUGAAAACCAUAUUGAUUGAUUGCGCGUACGCGUAUCAAUAGCACAUAGGUAGUAUCAAUACAAUAACAGAGCAGAAGAGAGUUAGACAGAAGAGAGUUUCUUCCGUGCCAAAUCUAUUCUAUUCUCUUAUCCCCGUGCCAAAUCUAUUCUAUUCUCUUAUAAUAAUUAGAAUAUAGUUGAUUCAGUGCCAAUGCAAUAUAUGACUUUGAGCAGCAUAUACUACUUUUCACUGAUUGGUAUAGGGAUGCCUAGCUUACUUGCACAGCACAGUCAACACACCUACACACGGAGAAAAGAAACAAACACAUCUAGAGCUGCUAGUCACUCAUUAUUCAAGUCAAAUAACUCAUGCAUUGCAGGGCCGGGCAAUCAUUCUUGUCGUAAAAGCCCUUAAGCCCGAAAGUCACAUCAGUAAGUCUGUUAGCGGACCCACGUUCUGUUGAUUAGGGUCAACGUCGACGUCAACGAGCAUACCCCGCAGAGAACUAAGUCGAUAGUUCGGGUCGGUGGUCCACACACUCGUUCUGUUAGGUCAUUCAAUCAUUCUGAAAGUCACAUCGAUAAGUAUGUCGAGCAGAAGUAACAUCAACAAGUAUGUCGAGUAGCGCCCCCGUUCUGUGAGCGGUAAUUCACUCUGUCUUCGAACGGGGAUCAUCUCUCCGCUCGGUCAUUAACUCUGUCUUCGCGGAUCAUCGCUCAUUCAUAGAGGUGUGAUCAACUGGUCUAGGUGCCCUUUCCUUGGAAUGGGUCCCAUAUUUCUGUGUUGAAUCAUCAAAUGACAAAUCAUGUGUUUCAGCCUUAGACCCCGGAGAGAUAUUCUGUAUUCUUAGCAAUAUUCUUAGUAGUAAAGUCGCUAUUGUCUUAUCCUACUUAGUGGAAUUAUGUCUUCAAUCAUAGAUCUGUAGACUGAACACUGGAAUCACAGAUAUAUAGUGAAGCGAUAAAGUUUCGCUGGUUUUUGACCUUAUUUAGCUUAGCAAAUAGAAAGAAGUUUUACUAUACAGCAAAAGAAUAAUGAAUGGAAUGUAGUUGCGCGGCUAGCUUAGCGUAACUCUUUUCGGCAGUUGAACUAGACAAGUGUUUUCAUAUCAAAUAGGGGAGCCUUACUCUCCCAUCCCUAAGCUAAGCCCCAACCCCCUUGCUCUAACUCUAACUACUCUUACUUAUAUUCUUCAAAUAAUAGCUCUGGCCCUGCCUUGCUUUCGGUCUUACUACCAAACUCUGCAACUAAAUACUUUCAUCUUGCCCACAAGAACAGUAUGCCGAUCCCUUGAUCUUGGUCUACCGUCUAAAACAUACACUGCUCUGUCUCAUUCCCGCGCUGUUUAGUUUCAAUAUGAUGGGCCCUCUUCUGCUAAUAAGAGUAGAAUUGCUGUUUCUAAGAAUCGACCUGGGGAUAAAGAAUACACCUACCGUGCAGAGAUGUGGUAAGUAACCAUUAGAAUGGAACAGGUGUUGACAAGAAUGACCUACCAACUAGGAAACCUCAAAAGAAUAGAAAUAGUACUCAUCGGACCUUCUACUACUAAUAUCAGAAUAUGACUACCGCUUCCAGAGCUUAACUUAACUACAUAACUCAGGUCGAUCUCGAACCUCGCUCUACCAUACCGCCGCCUGCCCCUCUUUUUGCAUUCCGCAUUGAUAGCUUGAGUAUUGAACUCCCCUAUCUUAGGCUUACUUUACGACUUCUGUCCUUACUGCCCGGCAUCCACAUAUGUAUUUGUCCCACCAAGCAACCCAUAUCACUCUGACGCUCCCGGCGCUUAGUCUAAAAUGAAUUCCUUCUAGCCUUAAAGCGACUAUUCUCAGUGUACUAUUACUAUUAAAUGACAAACUUGUGCUUCUCGUAACCUCCUCUCUAAACAUAGGAUCGAACAAGGUGCUUUUGAGUCUAAUGAAUGCACUACUAUUUCUAUCAAGUAGUAUGCCCACUUUCUCAAAAGAAAGGUGCUAAGAGCGUUCACCCUGUCACUAGAAAGAAAGGAAUAUCGGCAAGGAAAGGAAUAUCGGCUGCUCAACCUGUCACUAGAAAGAAAGGUGCUAAGAGCGUUCACCCAACACUAGAGAGUACUUGAUUCUGGCCUUUGCUUCUUGCCCUUGUUUGCUUGUUGAGAGCACCUGUUCUAUGAUUUUGUAAGCGCUAACUGAGGUAUGCACUGCAACUCUCAUACUUUUCUAUGACGGGAUCCUCAAUAAGAAGAUAAAGGCGAGGAUCUUCAUCCACGACAGGAGGAAGCCUUAAGCGGUGCCGACUCUGCCAGCCUUUUGUCCUAUUAGUUUCGCUUUCAAAGGAGUCAAUGGGAAAACUAGGGAUAUGGAUUCAUUAGGUUCAAAUUCUCCUUUUGUUCUUUUAAGGCAUAAGAGAGGAGGGAACAACCAUUGUGAAUGAUGCUAAGCUAUCAAAAGUCACUACGCAACCUCUACUCAAGAGUACGUAAGAGAUGAGGGAGGAUCGAUCGGAUCGGGCUUUUAUUUAAAAUCAAGCAUUCUGACCCUAGCCUAUCUCACCAUGGAAGUUUCUAGCCUUAGCAUAUAGGGCGGUCCUUAAGCGGUAACGGAGGCCGUGUUUCACUGAUACUUUCCCAUAUAAGGAGUGGAUGCUGGUGAGCUGCUCAAUAAUACUUGUUCUCCUAAAAUAUUUGGAAAUCUCCCUUGAGGGUAGGGAUGACUCUUUUAGCAGCAUAUGUCCCCUAGGGUUUGAUCUCCCUUAAAGCUUCUUCUUUGGUGUAACAAUGGCUUAAGGCCGAAUUCAUCUUCUUCCAUCCCUGCACUGUUAUACGUGCCAAUCCUUUCCAUUCAAGCUCGGGCCGUAGGUGUAAGAUCCCAGUUCUUCGGUGCAGUUAAGAGGUGGGGCUAGCUAAUGCAGUUAAGAGGUGGGGCUAGCGAAACUUACUCCACUUCAUAGAUCUCUCUUCUGCUCUCCGCAUCAAUGGCAUGAGAAUUCUUUGGCUUUGUCAGGCAAUGGCAUGAACUGGGGACUGCUAAACAAGCUUAGAUUUCUCAUUUCCUGAUCAUUAUCGAAAUCACCAUUUGCUAACUCUCACAAUCAACGAGCGAAGAUAAGCAGAGAAUUGUGCUUGUGUUGGGUUGGGGAGAAAAGGUUUUCUCAAUCCCCGUCUUCUAAUCCAGUAGGAGCCAUCCUUGCCUAAUCCAGAAUGUGAGAGAGUUGCAAUCAUCUCCAGAAUGUGAGAGAGUUGCAAUCAUAACUAAAUAAGGAAGCACUCAAUCGCAGCUUGAUGGGCUCUAGCUCUAAAUGGCCCAAUCCAGCAUCGCCGAAUCCACCCGAUCAAAUGUUCGUUUUCUCAAAAGGAAAGGUUCAAAAAGGGUGCGUGCGCGCUUCAAGGCUAGGUGCAUUAUUGGAUUGGCACUCUUGCUUUCACUUAGGGUUUAGAUCGGGAUUCUUGUUUUACCAGCUAAGCAUUUCAGGGGUUGGUUAAUAGACGCUUUAAGAGCAACGGGCCCCAUAAGAAAAGAGGUUGAUAGACACUAGACCUAUAGGGGGAGGGAGGAAGCGACUGAAAGGAUAAGGAUAGGG
This 6553-nucleotide long non-coding RNA is filed under the name Musa acuminata (dwarf banana). RNAcentral's name for it is "long non-coding RNA (MACU_LNC007537)". The record is from RNAcentral. Lineage: Eukaryota; Viridiplantae; Streptophyta; Magnoliopsida; Zingiberales; Musaceae.